GUGCCUAAUACAUGCAAGUCGAGCGGACAGAUGGGAGCUUGCUCCCUGAUGUUAGCGGCGGACGGGUGAGUAACACGUGGGUAACCUGCCUGUAAGACUGGGAUAACUCCGGGAAACCGGGGCUAAUACCGGAUGGUUGUUUGAACCGCAUGGUUCAGACAUAAAAGGUGGCUUCGGCUACCACUUACAGAUGGACCCGCGGCGCAUUAGCUAGUUGGUGAGGUAACGGCUCACCAAGGCAACGAUGCGUAGCCGACCUGAGAGGGUGAUCGGCCACACUGGGACUGAGACACGGCCCAGACUCCUACGGGAGGCAGCAGUAGGGAAUCUUCCGCAAUGGACGAAAGUCUGACGGAGCAACGCCGCGUGAGUGAUGAAGGUUUUCGGAUCGUAAAGCUCUGUUGUUAGGGAAGAACAAGUGCCGUUCAAAUAGGGCGGCACCUUGACGGUACCUAACCAGAAAGCCACGGCUAACUACGUGCCAGCA
RNAcentral lists this ribosomal RNA (487 nucleotides) under Bacillus amyloliquefaciens. RNAcentral describes it as "bacterial SSU rRNA". It matches the Rfam family "Bacterial small subunit ribosomal RNA", at positions 44 to 513 of the family's 1533-position model. The record is from RNAcentral. Lineage: Bacteria; Bacillati; Bacillota; Bacilli; Caryophanales; Bacillaceae.